Molecule: ribosomal RNA, 838 nt
Filed under: uncultured marine bacterium
Lineage: Bacteria
Description: bacterial SSU rRNA
Rfam family: Bacterial small subunit ribosomal RNA
Source: RNAcentral
GCUGGCGGCACGCCUAACACAUGCAAGUCGAGCGCUCACUUCGGUGGGAGCGGCGGACGGGUUAGUAACGCGUGGGAACAUACCCUUUACUACGGAAUAGCCUUUGGAAACGAAGAGUAAUACCGUAUACGCCCUACGGGGGAAAGAUUUAUCGGUAAAGGAUUGGCCCGCGUUAGAUUAGAUAGUUGGUGGGGUAACGGCCUACCAAGUCUACGAUCUAUAGCUGGUUUGAGAGGAUGAUCAGCAACACUGGGACUGAGACACGGCCCAGACUCCUACGGGAGGCAGCAGUGGGGAAUCUUAGACAAUGGGCGCAAGCCUGAUCUAGCCAUGCCGCGUGAGUGAAGAAGGCCUUAGGGUCGUAAAACUCUUUCGCCAGAGAUGAUAAUGACAGUAUCUGGUAAAGAAACCCCGGCUAACUCCGUGCCAGCAGCCGCGGUAAUACGGAGGGGGUUAGCGUUGUUCGGAAUUACUGGGCGUAAAGCGCACGUAGGCGGAUUAGUAAGUUAGAGGUGAAAUCCCAGGGCUCAACCCUGGAACUGCCUUUAAUACUGCUAGUCUUGAGUUCGAGAGAGGUAAGUGGAAUUCCGAGUGUAGAGGUGAAAUUCGUAGAUAUUCGGAGGAACACCAGUGGCGAAGGCGGCUUACUGGCUCGAUACUGACGCUGAGGUGCGAAAGUGUGGGGAGCAAACAGGAUUAGAUACCCUGGUAGUCCACACCGUAAACGAUGAAUGCCAGACGUCAGCAAGUAUACUUGUUGGUGUCACACCUAACGGAUUAAGCAUUCCGCCUGGGGAGUACGGUCGCAAGAUUAAAACUCAAAGGAAUUGACGGGGGC